CUGCGGUAGCUCAGUGGUAGAGCACUCCCUUGGUAAGGGAGAGGUCGAGAGUUCAAUCCUCUCUCGCAGCACCA
Molecule: transfer RNA, 74 nt
Filed under: Brucella sp. 10RB9215
Lineage: Bacteria; Pseudomonadati; Pseudomonadota; Alphaproteobacteria; Hyphomicrobiales; Brucellaceae
Description: tRNA-Thr
Rfam family: tRNA
About the family: Transfer RNA (tRNA) molecules are approximately 80 nucleotides in length. Their secondary structure includes four short double-helical elements and three loops (D, anti-codon, and T loops).
Source: RNAcentral